ACUCCAUGAUGAAUAUAUAAUGACAAGCAUAUGACUGAACUUGGAUGUGAUGUCAUCUUAAUACUGAGAAGU
RNAcentral lists this small nucleolar RNA (72 nucleotides) under Rhinolophus ferrumequinum (greater horseshoe bat). Its description in RNAcentral is "Small nucleolar RNA SNORD27 (ENSRFEG00010011540.1)". It matches the Rfam family "Small nucleolar RNA SNORD27". Rfam says of the family: U27 is a member of the C/D class of snoRNA which contain the C (UGAUGA) and D (CUGA) box motifs. U27 is encoded within the U22 snoRNA host gene (UHG) in mammals and is thought to act as a 2'-O-ribose methylation guide for ribosomal RNA. The record is from Rfam by way of RNAcentral. Lineage: Eukaryota; Metazoa; Chordata; Mammalia; Chiroptera; Rhinolophidae.